UACGUAGGGGGCUAGCGUUGUCCGGAAUCAUUGGGCGUAAAGAGCGUGUAGGCGGUCCGGUAAGUCCGCUGUGAAAGUCGGGGGCUCAACCCUCGAAUGCCGGUGGAUACUGUCGGGCUAGAGUGCGGAAGAGGCGAGUGGAAUUCCUGGUGUAGCGGUGAAAUGCGCAGAUAUCAGGAGGAACACCGGUGGCGAAGGCGCUGCUCUGGGCCGAAACUGACGCUGAGGAGCGAAAGCGUGGGUAGCAAACAGG
This 253-nucleotide ribosomal RNA is filed under the name uncultured bacterium. RNAcentral's name for it is "partial 16S ribosomal RNA". It matches the Rfam family "Bacterial small subunit ribosomal RNA", at positions 524 to 776 of the family's 1533-position model. The record is from RNAcentral.